AUGAACACUCUUGACUCUGCUUCGGAUUCCCCAGUGAUAAUUGUAUCGAGUGAUGAAAGAGCUGACGGCGACAUUUUAAUGUAUGAUUGGCUUGGACCAUUGGAAUGAAGUCAUUUCAUGGUGCCACCACUUGGGAUGGUAUUAGCUGCAAAUAUAGACUUGUACUCAGCACUUACUGCCUUUAAGAAGUAUGCGAUCCAUUUUGUGCUAACACCUACCGUGACACAGAAUCUUGGUUUAUGCAGUCUCAUAGGAGUAACCUGUCUAAAGCAUUUAGCAAUGGGAUUGGAACCUGCGACGUGUGACUCAUCUGAAUACUGAAUUUUGAUACCAAGCAUGACCAUGAUUUGCCAGAAGAUCAUCUGUUUGGAUGUGACAUGGAAUAAACAGCAUAGUGAAAAUAAGUCAAGUUUUGGUUUGUGAAGACAAUUUUUAAACACACUGUGUAUCAUUUUUAAAUUUUGAUUUGACAACAUAAAUCCACAAAUAUGAACAUAUCAAUUGCUCUCAGUUUUUCAAGUGAAAUAGUUUUUGUAACAGAAAUACAUGUACCAGUAAUUACAUUGGAAUAAAUGUUAUUUUUAAAUAUAAUAAUAUUUUGUUUGUGUAGCAUGUUGACCUCUUUAUUAAGGUCUUCCCUUUCAAAGUUUAGACUUACUUAUUCUAAUGAUUAAGAUAGAUCCUCUGUCUUCAGCAGGAAUAUAAGAUCUUGUAAUACAUGUA
Long non-coding RNA from Saccostrea cuccullata (small rock oyster), 723 nucleotides. RefSeq lists it as uncharacterized. The transcript is spliced from 3 exons. NCBI's taxonomy places the organism in Eukaryota, Metazoa, Mollusca, Bivalvia, Ostreida, Ostreidae. The record is from RefSeq and is a predicted model, not a curated record.